This 1505-nucleotide ribosomal RNA is filed under the name Nitzschia traheaformis. RNAcentral's name for it is "SSU rRNA". It matches the Rfam family "Bacterial small subunit ribosomal RNA". The record is from RNAcentral. Lineage: Eukaryota; Bacillariophyta; Bacillariophyceae; Bacillariales; Bacillariaceae.
AUUUAUAUGAGUUUGAUCCUGGCUCAGAAUGAACGCUAGUAGUAUGCUUAACACAUGCAAGUUUAACGAAAUAUAUUUCUAUUUCGUAGCGAACGGGUGAGUAAUCACAGAAUUUUACCUAUUAGUUCAGAACAAAAGUUUUUUUAAAACUAAAAUACUGAAUGAAUUUUAAAAGGUUAAUUUUUUCCACUAAUAGAUAAAUCUGUUUAAGAUUAGGUUGUUGGUAAUUUAAAAGCUUACCAAGCCUACGAUCUUUAGUUGGUCUGAGAGGAUGAUCAACCACACUAGAACUGAAAGAAGGUCUAGGCUGACUUGUCGGCCAGCAGUGAGGAAUAUUGGACAAUGAACGAAAGUUUGAUCCAGCAAUACUAACUGGGUGAUGACGGCUUAUUUAAGUUGUAAAGCCCUUUCAUUAAAGAAGAUAAUGACAUUAUUUAAUGCAAUUCAGUCCUGGCUAAUACUCGUGCCAGCAGCCGCGGUAAUACGGGAAGGGCAAGCGUUAUUCGGCAUGACUGGGCGUAAAGAGUCCGUAGAUGGUAAAGUAAGUUUUUGUUAAAUUUUAAUACUUAAUGUUAACACAACAAUAAAUACUGCUUAUUUACUAAGAGUUAAAAGAGAAAAGUAGAAUUUUAUACGAUUAGGGGUGAAAUCCGUAGAUAUAUAAAGGAAUGCCAAAAGCGAAGGCAGCUUUUUACUGUAAACUGACAUUGAGGGACGAAAGUAUGGGUAGCAAACAGGAUUAGAGACCCUGGUAGUCCAUACUGUAAAUUCUGAGUGCUGUAAUUUUAUAAUAUUGAGUAUAUUAUUUAGAUUUUCAAGCUAACGCAAUAAGCACUCCGCCUGAAGAGUACGGUCGCAAGGCUGGAACUCAAAGGAAUUGACGGGGGUCUAACACUAGUGGUGGAGCAUGUGGUUUAAUGCGAUAAUCCGCGCAAAACCUUACCAAUUCUUGACAUAAUUUUAGAGAUAAAUGAUUUGCAACUUAAAAGUUACAAAUCAUCCCUUUUAUUACAGGUGUUGCACGACUGUCGUCAGCUCGUGUCGUGAGAUGUUUGGUUAAGUCCUGAAACGGGCGCAACUCUUACUUUUAUAAAGUUUUUACAAACAAAUAAAUAUGUUAUUUUUGUUUUAAAAGUACAGUCAAUGAUAAAUUGAAGGAAGGUAAGAAUGAAGUCAAGUCAAUGUGACCCUAAUGAAUUGGGCUACACAUGUGCUACAAUGAAAACUACAAAAGGUGACAAAAAAGAUAAUUUUUGGUUAAUCCAAAAAAGUUUUCCAAGUUCGGAUUGUAAACUGCAACUCGUUUACAUGAAGUUGGAAUCACUAGUAAUCGCGAAUCAGCACGUUGCGGUGAACACGUAAAUUGACCUUGUACACACCGCCCGUCACUUGCAAAGAGUUAGUUUCACUUGAAGGUUUUAAUAAAGCCCAUUGAGAGAUUAACAAUUUGGAUGAAGUCGUAACAAGGUAGCCGUACGGGAACGUGUGGCUGGAAUAUAAUGAAA